CUUAAUAAACAACAAAACCAAACGUACUUUCAGAUUUCAGGCUGGAAUGCGCACAGCUGAUUGUUGAUAAGGGCUACUCAUACCGACAGGCCAGUGAAGCGAUGAAUGUCGGUUCCAC
Molecule: non-coding RNA, 118 nt
Organism: Salmonella enterica subsp. enterica serovar Newport
Lineage: Bacteria; Pseudomonadati; Pseudomonadota; Gammaproteobacteria; Enterobacterales; Enterobacteriaceae
Source: Rfam